Molecule: ribosomal RNA, 825 nt
Filed under: Petasiger sp. MAG-2016
Lineage: Eukaryota; Metazoa; Platyhelminthes; Trematoda; Plagiorchiida; Echinostomatidae
Description: eukaryotic LSU rRNA
Rfam family: Eukaryotic large subunit ribosomal RNA
Source: RNAcentral
AAUGCAGCCCAAAGCGGGUGGUAAACUCCAUCCAAGGCUAAAUACUAGCACGAGUCCGAUAGCGAACAAGUACCGUGAGGGAAAGUUGAAAAGUACUUUGAAGAGAGAGUAAACAGUGCGUGAAGCCGUUCAGAGGUAAACGGGUGGAGUUGAACUGCAAGCUCUGAGGAUUCAACUGGUAAGAAUGGCGUGAACUUGAUCACGUGGGUUGGUUGCUGUGUCUGCUUAGCUGCAGGUCCUCGCCUCGGUGGGGAUUCGCGUCUAGCUUAUCAAGCUCUGCGUGCACGGUCUUUGACGAGCCCGCUUGCCAGUGCACUUUCUCGGAGUGUUCACCACGACCGGCGUUGCUGUCUGGCUGAUGUGGUUAAACCGGUCUUGUAGGGUCCUUGUGGCCUUGCUUGGUCGGGAUGGCAGGUAGCCCGUUGUGUAUUUAUAUGCUUCGGGUGUAAUAGCCGACUGCAUCGGUUCUGUGCGGUACGUCGGAGACGGCGGCUUGUUGUGCGUGCGGGCGUGCCUGUGUGCUGGCGGCUCUGGGUCUGGUUGCCUUGUUGCUUGCGUAAGCAGGCCAGGUGAUGGCUCGGGGUCGUUUGGUGUGCGGUUGCGUUCGUGGCACUUUGAAGGGCCAACAGUCUGUGGUGUAGUGGUAGACUAUCCACCCGACCCGUCUUGAAACACGGACCAAGGAGAGUAACAUGUGCGCGAGUCAUUGGGCGUUACGAAACCCAAAGGCGUAGUGAAAGUAAAGGUUCGGCUUGUCUGGACUGAGGUGAGAUCCUGCCGUUUCUCACGCAUGGUACUAUCAAGCAUCGAGCGGCGGGCGCAUCA